Anaerolinea thermophila is the source of this 84-nucleotide transfer RNA. It matches the Rfam family "tRNA". From Rfam's summary of the family: Transfer RNA (tRNA) molecules are approximately 80 nucleotides in length. Their secondary structure includes four short double-helical elements and three loops (D, anti-codon, and T loops). Lineage: Bacteria; Bacillati; Chloroflexota; Anaerolineae; Anaerolineales; Anaerolineaceae. The record is from Rfam.
GGGCAGUUAGCCAAGUGGCCAAAGGCGACUGACUGUAAAUCAGUUGGGGACACCCCUUCGGAGGUUCGAAUCCUUCACUGCCCA